Triticum dicoccoides is the source of this 2178-nucleotide long non-coding RNA. RefSeq lists it as uncharacterized. The transcript has 5 exons. The record is from RefSeq and is a predicted model, not a curated record. NCBI's taxonomy places the organism in Eukaryota, Viridiplantae, Streptophyta, Magnoliopsida, Poales, Poaceae.
AUGAGGGUGAUUCUUUAGCUAAUUUGCACAAUAUGUUGUAUCUACCUAUUUUGUGAGUGAUGUGCUAGCGCUUUUGUCGCUUUUCUAACAUAUUCCUGGCAAACUUAUUAGCACAACAUUUCCUUGUUGUAUUGGCAAAUCUAGCCCUGAUGUUAAUUUCGCUUUAUACUAUAUUGUGUAGCGUAGCCUUUCAACAUUUGCAUUUUAUGAGAAUAUUGUGGACACUUGAUUUUUAGUUACAUUAUUUUAGUUUCUAAUAUAUUGACAUAGAGAGAGAAUAAGCCGUAACACGAGUGGGGUGUUGUGUUCAAAUGGAGGAUGUAGAAAUAGAGGACAUAGACAUGUGUGUGUGGGUGGAGCAAAUGGGCAGGGUUUUGGGUCGUUUUAUUAUGUUUUCUCCCGUUACAACACAUGGGCAUAUUUGAGAAGAACUAUUGCUCCACGGAGAAGAAUGUGCGGCGAAUUUUCCUUUGCAAAUAUUUUUUUGAUGAUAAGGAUUUCUUUUCUUCCGUUGCAACGCACGGAUCCUUUUGCUAGCCAAAGAUGGGGGAUCUUUGGACAGCGCUCCUAAUAUUUAUUUUGUUUCUCGUGUAGUAGUGUGGAGGAUUUCAAGGAGUUUCUUGAUGAUGUCAUGUCUGGUGAUGGGCCAUGGGGAGAGGAGGAGGUCUUGAGCCAUUGGGUUAGUGAAGUGAGGUUUUUUAUCUCCCGUUGCAACGCACGGGUAUUUGUGCUAGUAUUAUAUAUAUAUAUAAUAUUUUUCUCUCCCUAAUAAUAAAGCACGGAUUGGGUCUCCGGGUUCACCGUCGCGGCGUUUUUACAUAAAGGUCCCUAUGGUUUUUAGGAAUUAACCCGCAGUCCACUGUAACCCAAGCGUAAGUGAAAAAAAAAACUGUUCGUACGCAGCCCUUGCUCGCCCGACCGGCCGACCCUGAAAUUGCUCCCCCGCACGAGAACGUGAGGGUUUCUUCCGCCGCCGCGCCCUUCCGCCCCCGCGCCCCCAUCCCUUCGCUGCCGCCGCCGUCCAUCCACUCUGCGGUGCCCGUCCUCGAUCUGCGGUCUCCAAAUCCGGACGAGAUCGGCAGGUUCCACCCCAUCUCCCGUCAAACCCAGCCGCAGCUGCUCGUCGGCCAUGCGGGGAGCACGGACGAGCUGCUCAUCGACGUCCAUCCCGCAGCCCCGCCUACGAAGGUGCCCAGCCUCCUCGACAGCGCGCCUCCUACUUGCCGCACGAUAGGGCUUUCUUCUAUUUUGGCAAGGGUCAAGCUAGCAACUGUGAAGAUGCAGAAUUCAUGCAACUCCAUCUUACUCCAACUCUCAGGUGCCGAAGGCGUCCGAUCGAACUCAGCUGGAGGCCAAACAGGUUCGGCUCUCGGACAUGCCACCAUUAACGCUCGAUGACACCGAUGCGCAGACUUGAGGCAAUUUAGUUGCAUGCCUUCAGUUACAAAAAAAGUAACAAGAGUUGAACAUACGAAUUGGUCAUCAAUGGCCGCAGAACAGGAGAGCAAUUUCAAUGGACAAUGGAAACAUGAGUAAAACAAGCAGCUAAACGAAGGCCGCUUGCCCAGAGUGUCUCGGAGGAGGAUGUCACUGCCGCUAGAUUGGCGGAUGACUACUUCUUGGUGGUCUAUGGAUGUCGCACUGUAUGGAUCUUUAUCUGUAGUUGGAUAGUUCCUGACCUCAUUCCAGGAGGCUGAUUGGAGCCUGCCAGUUGCAAUGAAGUCCUCCAGAGAUAAGGGUUUGCAGAAAAUGAUCUUGGCAUCCCAGAUAAGCAGGUCGAGGUCAAAGCCGGUGCCCAGGGGGAUUUCAAUGGAUCACCAACACGAGAAACUGAAAUGGCAGGACCAGAAAAGAUGGUCCCAGAUCUCACUGCAGCCGGAUGUGCAAGAACACAUCAAUGAUCAUCUGUGAGACUGUGACACUGAAAUUUUGUCGAUGGAGCAUUGCCUCUGCUAUUUAGCUUCUAGAGUACAAUGACCUGUACGUACAACUAUAACAGCUAGCAGCAUGGUUUAUCCCUUCUGAUUGUACUAUUUCUCUAGAGUGAUGGCAUAGGAAGAGCGUGUGUAUAUGUUGAGGUUAGUCUUCUGAAACUAAUGCUCCAGAUGUUCUCUGUAAACUAAUGCUGCAAGUGUUUGUUUGGGACAAGCCCAAAUAGUGUUCCAAUUUUUAUGAAAA